RNAcentral lists this ribosomal RNA (664 nucleotides) under Salmonella enterica subsp. enterica serovar Infantis. RNAcentral's name for it is "partial 23S ribosomal RNA". It matches the Rfam family "Bacterial large subunit ribosomal RNA", at positions 2259 to 2917 of the family's 2925-position model. The record is from RNAcentral. Lineage: Bacteria; Pseudomonadati; Pseudomonadota; Gammaproteobacteria; Enterobacterales; Enterobacteriaceae. RNAcentral also lists the same sequence under 4 other names.
UGGUGGGUAGUUUGACUGGGGCGGUCUCCUCCUAAAGAGUAACGGAGGAGCACGAAGGUUGGCUAAUCCUGGUCGGACAUCAGGAGGUUAGUGCAAUGGCAUAAGCCAGCUUGACUGCGAGCGUGACGGCGCGAGCAGGUGCGAAAGCAGGUCAUAGUGAUCCGGUGGUUCUGAAUGGAAGGGCCAUCGCUCAACGGAUAAAAGGUACUCCGGGGAUAACAGGCUGAUACCGCCCAAGAGUUCAUAUCGACGGCGGUGUUUGGCACCUCGAUGUCGGCUCAUCACAUCCUGGGGCUGAAGUAGGUCCCAAGGGUAUGGCUGUUCGCCAUUUAAAGUGGUACGCGAGCUGGGUUUAGAACGUCGUGAGACAGUUCGGUCCCUAUCUGCCGUGGGCGCUGGAGAACUGAGGGGGGCUGCUCCUAGUACGAGAGGACCGGAGUGGACGCAUCACUGGUGUUCGGGUUGUCAUGCCAAUGGCACUGCCCGGUAGCUAAAUGCGGAAGAGAUAAGUGCUGAAAGCAUCUAAGCACGAAACUUGCCCCGAGAUGAGUUCUCCCUGAGACUUAGAGUCUCCUGAAGGAACGUUGAAGACGACGACGUUGAUAGGCCGGGUGUGUAAGCGCAGCGAUGCGUUGAGCUAACCGGUACUAAUGAACCGUGAGGC